This 505-nucleotide ribosomal RNA is filed under the name uncultured Bacilli bacterium. RNAcentral describes it as "bacterial SSU rRNA". It matches the Rfam family "Bacterial small subunit ribosomal RNA", at positions 143 to 632 of the family's 1533-position model. The record is from RNAcentral. Lineage: Bacteria; Bacillati; Bacillota; Bacilli.
ACAACAUUUGGAAACAGAUGCUAAUACCGCAUAACAACGUUGUUCGCAUGAACAACGCUUAAAAGAUGGCUUCUCGCUAUCACUUCUGGAUGGACCUGCGGUGCAUUAGCUUGUUGGUGGGGUAAUGGCCUACCAAGGCGAUGAUGCAUAGCCGAGUUGAGAGACUGAUCGGCCACAAUGGGACUGAGACACGGCCCAUACUCCUACGGGAGGCAGCAGUAGGGAAUCUUCCACAAUGGGCGCAAGCCUGAUGGAGCAACACCGCGUGAGUGAAGAAGGGUUUCGGCUCGUAAAGCUCUGUUGUUAAAGAAGAACACGUAUGAGAGUAACUGUUCAUACGUUGACGGUAUUUAACCAGAAAGUCACGGCUAACUACGUGCCAGCAGCCGCGGUAAUACGUAGGUGGCAAGCGUUAUCCGGAUUUAUUGGGCGUAAAGAGAGUGCAGGCGGCUUUUCUAAGUCUGAUGUGAAAGCCUUCGGCUUAACCGGAGAAGUGCAUCGGAAA